AGCGGAGGUAUUCACUUCUGCCUGAGGGAUACGCCUCUGCCCAUGCGCUAUUAGCCAUAGCUCUAUCAAGUCUGCAUUUGACCAAAUGGGUCCACAAAUGAACCCUCAGCUCUAGGUGGUCCUCCUCUCUUCUCUGCGUUGUUGAUAAUGUCAUUAAAGUCACCAGCAAGGAUCCAUGGGUCACUUCUCCCUUCGCCAAAGGAAGACAGAACUUCCACUUCAAUCGAAUCCUUCCAAAACAGUGCAAGGCCACCCGCACCUGGUGAGCUUGGUGGCACAAUCAGUUUCGA
This is a non-coding RNA of Camelina sativa (false flax), 290 nucleotides long. Lineage: Eukaryota; Viridiplantae; Streptophyta; Magnoliopsida; Brassicales; Brassicaceae. The record is from RefSeq and is a predicted model, not a curated record.